GAUGAACGCUGGCGGCGUGCCUAAUACAUGCAAGUCGAGCGAACGGACGAGAAGCUUGCUUCUCUGAUGUUAGCGGCGGACGGGUGAGUAACACGUGGAUAACCUACCUAUAAGACUGGGAUAACUUCGGGAAACCGGAGCUAAUACCGGAUAAUAUUUUGAACCGCAUGGUUCAAAAGUGAAAGACGGUCUUGCUGUCACUUAUAGAUGGAUCCGCGCUGCAUUAGCUAGUUGGUAAGGUAACGGCUUACCAAGGCAACGAUGCAUAGCCGACCUGAGAGGGUGAUAGGCCACACUGGAACUGAGACACGGUCCAGACUCCUACGGGAGGCAGCAGUAGGGAAUCUUCCGCAAAGGGCGAAAGCCUGACGGAGCAACGCCGCGUGAGUGAUGAAGGUCUUCGGAUCGUAAAACUCUGUUAUUAGGGAAGAACAUAUGUGUAAGUAACUGUGCACAUCGUGACGGUACCUAAUCAGAAAGCCACGGCUAACUACGUG
Molecule: ribosomal RNA, 497 nt
Filed under: uncultured bacterium
Lineage: Bacteria
Description: partial 16S ribosomal RNA
Rfam family: Bacterial small subunit ribosomal RNA
Source: RNAcentral